UUCAAAUGAGAGCAUCGAAUUUCACUCCAUUGAUGAAUGGAUAAUCGGUUAAAUAGAUAAGUAAUAUUUUGCAUUGAUCAGAUAGUAUUAACGAUCACUUAUUUAAUUAACUCAAUAAGAUAAUAUCGAAUGAUUUUUCAAAGCCAAUAGCAGUUAAUAACUUUAUAAUCAAAAUAUAUCUUUCUCAAGCUUUCGGUUUUUACUUUUACUUUUUGCUUUUUCUCAAACACUUAAACCUGCAGUCAGGCCAGAAAGCUGGAAACUCCAAUCCGAUUGAAACAGUAUGAGGGAUCAUCAGAUUGUGAAAGGAGAGGAGUUUGAGAGAAAAGCUGAGAAGAAGAUUAGUUGUUGGGGUUUAUUUUGUUCUAAGCAUGAGGAUGCUGCUGAUCUUUAUCAAAAAGCCGCCACUUCCUUUAAACUCGCCAAAUCAUGUGAGCCCUUCGAUUUAUUGUUUGAAAAUUUCAACCUUUAUUGAGCAUCGGGUUUGUUUUAAAAUGUUAACUUUAUUAAGAGGACUGGCUCAUAUUUUAGCUAUUGGAUUUCGACUAAUCAAAAGCUAUAAAAGGAUCCAAUUGCUCGUUUUAGAUUUUGGGCUCAGAUACUGAGUCAUUGUUUUCAAUGUAAAAUGGCAAUAUUGGAGGAAUAAGUUAAAGUCCUAUAUUUUGGUUAGUGUUUUUAUCUUUAACAGACUUGGGAUUUUACUUUAACAAGCUUUAUCUUCUGUUGAUGUAAGGAAUUAUGAUAUUUUGUUUUAUUAUGAAUGACUUUGUUCCAUAAUUGAAUCUGAACAGUGUUAGUAGGGAGAUUGCGAUUCUUGGUUCUAUUCUUUUUCCUAGUGUUAUUAAGUGCCUUUGCUUUGUGAAGAGUAUUUGAUCAUCUGGAUUAGUAAUAUAGAAUGCUUAGGCUAUUACUUGGCUUAUGGGACCCUCGGAAUGGAGUUUUAGGCAGAAAUUUGCGGAGGCAUGAUUCUUUAAAACUCAGUUUCAUCCACACAUUCUCUCAUUAAAAUAAUUCUGAGCAUAAAUCCAUAACUUUUCCUACUUUUUAACCAACAUUCUCCAAAAAUACGACUUUUCACCAUAACCAUUCUCAGAAAAACUACAAUAAACAGGCCCUAAGCAAAGAACUUGUCUUUUUAUUUACUUUUUUUCGUUUUUCGAAGGGUGAAAGUGUAUGAUUCUGUAGUAAGCAUGAACUAUAGAUUAACUUGAUUAGAAAUUGGAAUUAUAGUGAUUGCUAGUUAUGGUGAAAUUCUGUUUAGAUUCUUAGGAUGCUAAUAUACUAUUUUGGUGUUUCCCAGGGGAUAGAGCUGCAAUGGUCAAUAUUAAAUUGGCUAACUGUAAUUUGAAGGUCGGUGAUUUGGCAUUUUUAUGGCUGUAAUAGAAUUGUGCAUGUGAUAGCAAUAACUCAUAACCUUUUGCAGUUGGGUAUCAAGCAUGAAGCAGCGCGUGCUUAUAUUGAUGCUGCGAAUUGUUACAAGAAAACGUCCCCUAAAAGUGUGUAUUAUCUUCAUUUGAUUAUGAUGAUUAUAGUUAUUAAGUUUAGUACCAAAAGUAUUGAGAAGUGAUUUGGAAAAUGUUGUUUAUAUCUGCUUAGAAGUUGCGAAUGAAGUAUAUUGUUUUUGUUGGGGGUUUGCAGAGGCUUUAUCAUGUUUAGAUCAGGCUGUGAAUAUGUUCUUGGAAAUCAGCAGACUCAACAUGGCUGCACGUUAUUGCAAGGUACAUUCCACAUGCUAUUGUAUUAUUCUUCUUCCAAAAUUGAAAUAGAAGUAGGCAGGGUAAUAUUUGACAUUGCUUCCAGACUCGCAUAAGAAACAAGUAGAUAAAAUUGCGACCAAUACAAGAAGCAUUAUUAAGGAAGACAUAUUUCUAAGUUACCUUACACGUAGAAAGAAAGACAUAAUUAUAUAUUUCGAACAUAAGGUUUAUUAAAUCAUUAAAGUUUUCUGCUUACCAAUCUCCAAUUAUUUCCUCAUCUUUAAAUUACCGUUUCCUUCAUGCCAAGAAUUUUUUAGCAAAUGAUUUUUAAGCUUUUGUGUAGAACGUGUAUAAAAUCUUCUAAUUAUGGGAUGAUCCCUAACUAUGGGAAGUUGUCAACUUUCCUUGAUUCUUUAGGAGAUUUUAUCUUUCUACCAUAUUGGGUCUUGUUAUCUUUUUUGUAAACCAACUAUGUCGUGUGUAUAUGUGGGCAAAUUGUAAAUUUUAAUAUAUGAAAAAGAAGGGUUUCUUCUUCCUACAAUUUUGUCAUACAAUAGCAUAUAGUAUCAAAGCCCACUAGCUUCAAACAAUUCCGAUCAAAAUAAGACUCAAAUGAGCAUAAGGAUUCCAAAAUUAAUUUUUUCAAAGGAGAAUCAUCUUGCUAGAGCAUGUUAAAGAUAAAUGCCACGUCGGAUAAAUAUAAGAACAUUGACAAACGUAUUAAGGUUUGGGCUAUUUUUUUUUAACAAAGUUGACCUUUAAGAUAGAAGUCCAAGUCUUAGUAAUAAACCUUUAAACCUGUACUUGACUUGAGUUUAAUGCUUAUCUAGGAGAUUGGCGAAUUAUAUGAGCAGCAAAAGAACUUUGACCAAGCACUUUUGUAUUUCGAGUGGUCUGCGGACCUAUUUCAGGCUGUGGAAGCAACAACAUCUACAUAUCAGUGCAGGUUGAAAGUCGCACAAUUUUAUGCUCAGUCAGGGAAGUAAGUGAUCUCAACUGAUUCUAUGUCACUCUAUUUUUAUUUAUUUAUUUAUUUUCCCAAAACUUUGAAUUUAAGCUUACUACUUUCCAUUUAUUGGAUUGAACAAAUUGGGAAAGAUAAAUUACAUGUUCUUUGUGAAGUUAUGCCUCUAAUAGAAAUGAAAUAUGUAAACAUAAUGAGCAGGAUGUGGCAAUUGGUAAUAGUUGUGCUAACCGAACUCUAGGCGAUUUGAAUUCGUAAGCAUGCUUGAGAGUGCUUUUUAGUAAUAAUAAAUUGUGUGUCCUACAAAAUAUGUAGAUAAAAAUGGCCAGUAAUUGUGGUCGUACGAAAUGUGUAAAUAAAAAGCAUGUAAGGCAACUUAAAUUAUAGUAUUGCCAAACUUGCACCAUAUCUAUGUGGAAUAAGCAAAUACCUUUUGUAUUCAGAUAUCCUCAGGCAAUCGAAAUAUAUGAAGAGAUAGCACGUCACUCCCUAAACAACAAUUUAUUGAAGUAUGGAGUUAGAGGGCAUCUUCUUAAUGCUGGAAUUUGCCAACUUUGUAAAGGAGAAAUUGUUGCGAUAACCAAUGCACUGGAAAAAUAUCAGGUAUACAUUCUUCUUUUAUCUAGACCAUUAAGUUAUUUCUCCCUGUAGUAAUACUGGGAAUCAACAAUUUUCCAUUGCUCGUGUAGGACAUGGAUCCUACUUUCUCAAGGACUCGGGAGUACAAACUCUUAGUUGUAAGUUUUCAUUUAAUGUUGGUUUGAUGCAUCAAUUUUUAAAGAUGUCAUAGGGCUGCUGUUUUUUUUCACGGACUGGUGCUUUAUAUACUCAAUUUUUAGAAUAAUGGUAUCUAGACAAUCAGUCUAAGUGGUACUAUGUGAUGUGUUCAAUUAAAUGUGGAAUUAUGUGACACAGUUAAUUUGGCCUCUCAUUUAAUGUCACUUAGUACCAUUUAGACUGGUAUUAACAUGUGCUAUAUAGCAUAACUCUAGUUUUUAUCUUCGAUGCUAUAAAGUUAUAAACCUUGCUAAUGUGAUUAGAGUUCUUUUCUUUUCUUUUUUCUUUUUUUGCUUGUUAGGAUUUGGCUGCUGCAGUUGACGAGGAAGAUGCUGCAAAAUUCACAGCUGCUGUAAAGGAGUUUGAUACCAUAACCCGGCUGGUAAAUUAUUAUUUGAUUUAAUCUUAUUAUUUUUCUAGUAAUUCCUUACUCCGAUGUGAAAGAUUAUGCCUCUCUCUGAAAAGAUCUCAACCACAAAACCAAAUUAAUGAAAUCUAUUGCACAUCUUAUGUAGGCAUCAAAAAAUAAGAUCUUGAAUCUUAAAUUAAUCUCCAACUAAUGCAGGAGCAUGGUUGAAACGGGGGUUGGACACAAGGAAGUGGACUUGGAAUAGAUUCCUGAACUUGAUUCUAGGUGAUAUAAGAUGGAUUGCAUUAGUGCCAUGAGCUAUAGCUUUUGGAAAGAGUGGUGGCAAUACCUUAUGUCACAAACACAAUAAAAUAGAGAAAAAAGAACCCGAAUCAAAGAAAUAGGAGUGAUGUUUAUAAAAAGUCUGAAAGCGAACUUUUUAUUUUUAUUAUAUUUCGUAAAAGUAACUUGUGUAUUUUCGACUGUAAACUUGUAGCUCAUGUUGUUUCCUAUUUCUAAAUGCCACAAUACUCAUUUCCUAGUCGCUUCCAGGAAACUUGGAGGACCACUCUUCUGUUGCGAGUGAAGGAAACUCUAAAAGCUAAAGAACUUGAAGAGGAUGAUCUGACCUGACUGGAUAUAACUACUGAAACUUUCUCCUCUUUACCAUACAAAAUAACAUAUGGUCGUCAUCAUUGUUAUUAUUACCGUUAUUUUUGGGAUUUAUGGAGUUCCCUGUUUGUGAAUAACUUUGAUUCAGUCCAUGGACUUUUUGAAAUAUGUAUAUUACUUGAUUUACUUGAUUUUCAUUUUAUCAUUGUAGUUCUUUCCUAUUAAAUUUGGGAGAUAUGAUAGAUAAAGUAUUUAUAUAAUUUUAUAUCCAGUGUCUGGAUGUUUGAUUUAUUAUUAAAUUAACCAAAAAAUGACGUUAUCAUUUUUUUUUUUUUUCCAAUUUUCUUUAUCAAUUUGUUAUUACAUAACGCAUGGUUGUUUUAGCUUCAUUAUGCUCUUCAUUACAUAUUCAAUUAUCAAUUUGAAAAGAAUGGUGCUAAUUUAUGUGGUGCUUUAAGAACUAUAACAUUUUUUGGAUGUUGAUAUUACUUUUAUGCUUUCAGCAGCCCACCUCGGAUUCACUUGAUGCAACAUCUCUGUUUCAUACUUUAUGCUUAGCAUUAAAUUACCUUCUCAUCAAAAUUUUAGCCUCAUAAGUUGAUGUGGUUGCCUUUUAGUGUUGUUGGUUACAGCUUGAUGUAAUACCUUGUGCUUGCCUCUACAAAUGGUAAUCAUCCUGUCUGCAUUCUAACAAGACAGAAUUGGGAGCGAGAUCCAGGAUUGUUUAGUCACUACCGUAAGUAUAAAUCAUAUCAUGCUUUAUCUACUUACCAUUGAGCUCAAAUAUUCUUGUGCUCCGCUCCCAAAUUGCACCCUGGUCAAUUCCAAAUUUCUUGAAUCUUUUAGGAAUUGGAUAUAUUAGUGCAAUAAAAUAUAAGUAGUUUUUCCAUGCAGCAUAUAUGCAUAAUCUGAUCGUGCUCACUUUUUGUGGGUAUGUCGAUUGUUGCACAAUAUUUGUUAUGAUAUUCAAGCUCUACUUACUGUUCUAAUUUUUCCUUACCUUUUUUGUAAUGAAUGGAAUAGCAAGAUUUUUAGUACAGCUUUCUCCAUUGUUAACCAUGGUCUUCGAAUUAGGCUACAUAUUGUGAUUGUUGUAGUUCAAAGGAGAAAUCAGAAACUAGGGUCAAUUGUGUGGUCUAGUUGAUGUAACAAUCCGACCUCUGUACCCAAGCCAUUAUGUCAUACGUACUUCUCAUUAUGGGAGAGCCUAGCCUAUCUUACCUCUCGAAAAUUUCUAUCGUGUUCUCAAUAUUCGAAUCUAAGACUUCUGCUUUAUGAGAAACUUAAGUUGAAUCCUCGUACCAAUUAAGAAACUGUUGAAUCCUAACGCCAAUGGGCACAUUUUUUGUGACGAUCGUAUCCGUGCUCAAGCCGUUAUAUCCUACGUGUUGUCCGUUAUGGGAGAACCUAGCCUAGCUUACCUUUCAUGGAUUUCUAUAGCGUUCCCAAGAUUCGAACCUAAAACCUCUAUUUUAUGAGAGACUUAAAUUGAUUUCUGGGAAUGCGAUAAAAAUCCAUGAAGGGUGAGAUGGACUAGACUCUCCCAUAGCUGACAAUACAUUUAAUAUAAUUGGAUGGGCACAGAGAUCGAGUCAUUAUAAAAAAUGCGCACAAGUGAUACCUGGAUUCAGUUAAAAUCUAUUUUAAGACAGGGAUCAUGGGUUCAAACACUGGGGACGCAAUAUAAAUCUGUGAGGGGUAAGAUGUGCUUAGGUUCUUCUAUAGCGAACUGUAUGUAAGUUAACUAUUUGGGUAUAGAGGUCAGGUCAUUACAAUUGAACUAUGCACAUUGAUGUAAUAGAACAUCUUUAUCAUGUAAAUACCUAUUUCGUGAUUUUUUUCAUCUCAAAUGGCUAAAGAGUAAGGUCAGUUAGGGCACCAAUGUAGAGGAUUCUCUUAUUUAACACGCUGAGAUUAAAUAAUCAUAUUUAGAGGUAUGAUGUAAUAUGUCCUCUUUGGAUACUCCUCAAUCCAUUAAACAUAUGAUCAUCUUAUGAUACUUGGUUAUGGCACACUAUCAUGUUACCUUUACUUUUGUCCAACAAAAUGGUCUUUCUUUGUACAUAGUUACUUGGUUGUCCUUAGACAUACUGAUGCAGCAACAAUAGGAAUACCCAAUGGAGAAUGAGAAAACCAAUCAACAGAAUAAAGAAAUAACGGGAAGAGAUGACAUAAUAAGAAAACAAUAGAAGAGGGAGAAGAAUAAUGGAAGAAGAGAAGGAAAAUUGCUACAAGCUACCAAUCAAUUUUAUUCAAUCGUCAAUUAAAUGAAAUUAUAUGGCAAAUUAAGUUUAAAUAAUAAAAACAAAACCCUAACUAGGAUGGGCUUAGGUCAAUACAAGCCCAAUUAUAUAAAUAAGAGACAAAAAAAAGUCCAACUAGAAAUAAAUAAAAAUAGAUGUUUUCGUCAACUCUCUCGGGGUGGGAGAAAAUUCGACCUUGUCGAGUUGAUAGAUCACUAUAUGCAACCCCUUUCUUUCUACACUUUUCUUUGUUUCUUGUGAGCUAACAGGUUUUGGAGGUAACAAAUUAAGAUGAAUCUUCUUUCUAUUAAACACAAAGGAGAAAGGAUUAGAUUGACCAUAGAUGGUGACAUCUAGAUCAAACAACCAAUAUCGCCCCAGGAUGAUGUGCCCAUAAUCUAUUGAAAUGACGUCACACUAUAUAUGACCUUUAUAUUUGAGGAACUAGAUAGGGACUAGAAAACGCUCUUUGACUCUAUACGGCUAAGGAUGAAGAACUGGUUUCAACCCAAGAUGGAAAACAGUAGCCAUUGAAACCACUUAAUGCAGCUACCAUUAUCCACAAUAAUUUUACAGCCCUUAUUAUUGAUCUUGAUAUAAGUGUGAAAGAUAGCAUGACGACAUCAAUCAUUGGCAUCCUUGGGUUAGGUAAGGGUACAAUGUACGACACCGACUCUAGGCGUGUUAGGAGUAAGGGGACUAGUCUGAAUAUAACCUAAGAAAGUUUCUUCACUAUCCUCUAAGUCAUCAAACUCUUCCAUCUUAAGUUCAUAAACUUGGUCCUCUAAUCGUUCGUCUACUAUACCCUCACGUUCUUCCAUAACUAGGGCUCGACUAGGAUACUUAAAAGAAAUGUAAUCAAAACCUUUACAGUUGAAGCAUUGCAAACAGGAAGAUGCCCUUGAAACCUUCAGGACAUUUACCUUUACUAUCCGAUACAGGGGUAGCAUUAGAAGGGGAAGGCCCUAGAAUAGGCUUAGGAAAAGGAGUGGAUGCAGAAGAGGUGGCAGUGUGGAUGUCACUACGAGUUCUAUACGGUGUCCUAGUCACUAACUCCUAAUCUUGAACGAAGGAGUAGGCGUGGUCAUGAGUGGUGAUGCUUUGAAGGACCAGCUCGCGCCUAAGAUCAUCCUUAGACCUUGCCUAGACCUACUCAAGGUCAUGAUCUCAUCCUCAACGACCUGACAUCUCAUUCGAAAUUCAUCAAACUGAGUGACGUACUCAGUCACAGAUCGAUUGCCUGGCAUAAGGGCAUUCCAUUGAUCCAACAAGUUACCCCUGUAAGAUUGGGGUAAGUACUUAACUAAAAGGCGGCGCUUCAUUUCAUCCCAACUCCCAACAGGGGGAGCAUGACGUCUUUCUAGCAAAUUCUCAACACUUUUCCAAAAGAGUUCAGCAGUGCCAAUUAAUUUUAGACUGGCAAAUUGAACUCUUCGGUCUUUCGGGACUAUGUGUGGCUGUUGACUAUGAUUUACGAAUGGAGUGUUGAGUGGUGUACUAGCCGUGAUUGUUGAGUGGCGGUGUAUAGAGGAAAUCGAGAUGGUGGUUGGUUGCAGUAAGGAUGCGCCAGUGAUUCCGACAGUGCAGGAGUGGCAUCGGCGGGAGUAGUGGCAGGUUGGGUGCUAGCGGGAAGUGGCGGUGCCGAUGUCGUAGAGAAUUCGGCUUAUGGGAUAUUAACAGGGUGGAAGAUAGACACGAGUUGGAAUUGGGUUAUCGAAGAUGGGUUGUGGAAGGAUAAUGGGCUUGGUUGGGUAUUGUAUAUAAUGGGCUAGGGUUUGCUGUUGUGAUGGUUAGGGUUUGAGUUAUUGGGCUAAUGUGUUGGGCUUCGUGGACAUGGGUUAAUUAGAGAAUUGCUAGACUGAAUAGAAUUUGAGUUGAAUUAAGAUUGUAGGGCUUGGAUUAGGAUGUUAUCUAGAUAAGAGGAUUGACAUUGGAAAAAAGCAUUUUACGAAAUUUUAGGAGUACCGUAGAAAAAAAUGACUCUUGAUGAUAAAGAAUUUUUUUUCCCACUCAUUUUUUUCCUCGGGUGUGAACAGUAAUUUUUAUUUAUUUAUUUAUUUAUUUAUUUUACUAAGAAAGAAAACUGGAAAAAAAAAAUUGAAAACUGCUGCUCUUACUAGAAAUUGUUUCAUUUGUGGUGUUCUACAAGUUUUUUGCAACACCAAUAGGAAUACCCAAUGAAGAAUGAGAAAACCAAUCAACAGAAAUAAGAAAUCAGGGGAAGAGAUGACGGAAUAAGAAAAUAAUAGAAGAGGGAGAAGAAUAAUGAAAGAAAGGGAAAAUUGCCACAAGCCACCAAAUAAUUUUAUUCAAUCAUCAACAAAAUGAAAUUAUAUGGCAAAUUAGGUUUAAAUAGUAAAAACAAAACCCUAACUAGAACGGGCUUGAUUUCCAACUACAUAAAUAAGAAACAAAAAUAAAGUCCAACUGGAAAUAAAUAAAAAUAGAUGUCCUCAUCACAUACCACAGAAGAAGUUCUUGAUGCUUAUAUUGAAGCGAUUGAACCCGUCCGAGCAGCAUUGACAUCUUGCUUGCGUUGCCAAGUAAUGGAUGACAUCAUGGAGGCUUGAAGAAACAUGAUUGGUUCAGAGGAUUUGAUAUGUCUGAUGAAUACCUAAGAGAUGUACACUGGAGCAGUGGAACAAGCAAGCUAUCGAAGUUGGGGCUGCAGUUUUUAUUGCAGGUUCUAAUAUUUUACAAAAUUUACUAGUCACUCAAUUUUAUGUUCGGCUUCAAUUUCUAUCUUUAACAUUUGUGGCUGCAUUCUUUCAGUAAUCAUGUGGUUGUUUGGGAUUCACUAUGGGGACAGAGAAAGAGGUGAUGCUGAAUCAUCAAUCCGAUCACCCUCAUUACCUUGCUGUGUCCCGAAGUUUUUGUAACCGGCAGCCCCUUCUGGCAUGAACUCAUCUCCUUGCGGCUAUCAAAGCUCUGCUGAUUAUCCCUUCCAUUAACUUGCCUAAGUGCAUUAAUGUUUUUGGUGUGGAAUGGCCAUUUUGACCCUGAAAUUUUAUGAUGCUAUUUUCAUAUUAUGGAUAAAAAGGUCAUUUCACGUUGAUAACUUCCUAAUACCAUUACAAUUUUCCUUGAACUCCCGAAAGCUAUUUUAUGUUAAAAAAUGACCUCUAUCAACUCACUUGAAUCUCUUCUCAAUGAAGGAAAAUUAGAAUUUUGUUAUUGCUCAAAGCAUUAGAUAAUUGGCCAUGGUGUGCUUUCCCCUAGUGGUUAACGGAUCCUGGCAAUUCAAAAAUAAGUGCUGGAGACUGAACAAUAACAAGCAUUAAUAUGACCAUGUAAUUUUCCUGGACAGUGCAUGGAGGCAUAGGUGAAGACAGCACACUCCAGUCAUUGUUGGAGGCUGAAGGAGUCCUUUAUACAGGUAAUACACUUCUAUUGGAGCUUGUCAGAGAAAAAUAUAUUACUUUAAAUCACAUUUAAGACAAGUAAUGGAUCAAAUACCAGUUGGUCCAUUUGUAAGUUACUUUUGUAAAUUGACAUAUGCUAUUGUGAAUUUAAGGCCAUCGCAUCAAGGCUUCCAAGACAUGAAUGGACAAAGUUGCUGAAAAUGAAUGUGCUUUGACAAUUUGUCAUAGCAUUUGUGUGUGACAUAUACACAAGGAAACUUUACAUACAAAGCUUAGGGCAAAUAAGGUAUGUGCGGAGAAGUUCGCAGAAUUAAUCCUUAGGUGUAAUCUUCGGUCAUGGGGCUGUGCUUCCUAUUUGAAGAGGCGACAAUCUUGGAGUCUUCAAUCAUGGAGUUGCUGACAUUAGGCUGCAUAAUAUCUGUUAAUUUAGAGGCGACAGUUGUGGAGUCUUCAAUCAUGGAAUUGCUGACAUUGGAGAGCAUAACAUCAGUUAGUUUAACCCCACCCCUCGGGCGGUGGCAAGCAAACAGGGAGAUCACAGAACUCCUAGCAUUAUUGUGAAAGAAACUGGAGAUAUCCUCGAGGAUAUAUUUCAAAGUAUGUAAAACAAAUUAAUAACUACAUAGUUGAAGUCAUAAUUUAUGAAUUACUGGUAAAUUCACCAUAUUUCAGCAAAUAAAUUAUAGCUAGGGCCUUACAAGAUGAUGCCUGCCUGCAUGAAAAUGUCUUGUUUAACAUGGUUAAUACUGGAAUCGCAGGUGCAACUGGCAUCAAUUAGACUCCAUCACCCCUCUCUAUAAUAAGGUUGUGCCCUUAACUUCUACGGGAAUAGUUAUCCUUCUAUUCUAUUCUUCCUUUGUAAUUCAUGUAAAAUUGCGAAGAAGUGCUGGAACUUAAGGUUCAAGAUCCUUGAUUUGGC
Molecule: long non-coding RNA, 10923 nt
Filed under: Olea europaea subsp. europaea
Lineage: Eukaryota; Viridiplantae; Streptophyta; Magnoliopsida; Lamiales; Oleaceae
Source: RNAcentral